Molecule: long non-coding RNA, 9971 nt
Organism: Chlorocebus sabaeus (green monkey)
Lineage: Eukaryota; Metazoa; Chordata; Mammalia; Primates; Cercopithecidae
Source: RefSeq, a predicted model, not a curated record
GUUAGCCGGGAUGGUCUCAAUCUCCUGACCUUGUGAUCCGCCUGCCUCAGCCUCCCAAAGUGCUGGGAUUACAUACUCUCUGUUUUAAUCUCAGUGGGAAUUCCAAUACUGCCGCUGCACCUUGGACCCAAAAAUAUGUCUCAAAAUAUAUUUCUGUAUUCCUUUAAUUUUAUUUCUGCACACUCAGCACUUUUGACACACAUAUCUAUUUUACAAGUGCUCAAGUAAACUAAUCGCAUCUUGUUGAAGCUCUUCCUUACUGUGCUGUCAUCAGUUAAUUAUGGGGGAACUAAGAUGCACAGGGUAUGAUUAUUAACGACACCUCAGAUUUACACAAACCCACUCUUUGAAUGAUUUGGAGGCAGUUCAUACAUAUUAGCUCAUUUUUCCUCAUAACAGCUAGAUUGAAUGAAAGACCUAGAUUCUAUUCUUGAUGCUGUAACAACCUUUUUAGGAAAAGUAUUUAGUCAUUAAUUGCCUCAGUUCCCAACUGUGAAACAGAAAUCAUGAUAUGAAAAUAUUUGCUUCUCCCUUUCGUUCUCCUAAACCUUUAGAAUCUUAGUAGCUUUAAAAAAUGUAAAAAUCUGAAGUUUGAAUGUAAAGAAGUGUGUCUUGACUUUUUGAACAUUAAUAAAAAGUUGAACAGCAAUAUUGGGAGUAUGACUGGAAACACUGAAAUCUGAAUUAUUAGGUUUGACGCAAAAUUAAUUGUGGUUUUUGCCAUUAAAAUUUAUCGCAAAAACCACAAUAACUUUUGCACCAACCCAAGACAAUCUAAUUCUACUUAGUAGUGAGUCAUUGCCCUAUCUACUUCUUGCCUAUGUAUUGGAAAAUACUUAGAGAUCCAGAGGUUAUGAGUACUACAAAAGGAGCCCUAUCUUCAAAAGAGCAUUAAUUUGGUCAGCAAAGACAUCCCUAGGAACCAUGGCAUCAAUAAGACCCUAUUUGAGAGGAGAACAGUCUCAAAUCGAGUCCUAUUAAUGCCAUGGUUCCUAGGCAUCAAUAAGAUGUCUCUUUACUCUUCCUUCACCUCUUUUCUUUCCCUCCCAACUGCCAGGCUAUCUGUAGCAGUUUCAAAACAAUAUAGACAACUCCAGACCAAAUCCCUGGUCUGUAUGCUUGCUUGAAUAUCAUCUCUAGGUUCUUGGCCUUACAAUCGCAAUCUUCAAAAGUCCCAGGGGCGAAAAAUAUCCCUCUUUGCUUGCCAGCCUAAACCUAAUGACUGAAUGGCAGGGAACCUAGACAAAAAUAGCAUUUGGCUCUUAGAUGACAUCCUCCAGCCAAGAAUAAUGACUUUUAUAAUGUCAGGUUCAAUCCACUUAGUGCAUAGGUAAUAGGCAUCUCACCUUAGGGAGGGGAAUGGUCUCUCUUUCCCUCUGUCUCUCUUUCUCUCUCUGUUUACCUAUUGUUAGACAGAAGCUUUCUCCUUUACCUUCCUAAAACCCAAAGGCUGCUAAAAUGUACUUCCUAUAAAUUGGUAGAGUUGGGCCCCAAUGCAAUCAAUAGGCCAUAGAUUACCUUCCAGAGAGCUUCACAAACCACCUGGGCCCAUCAGAUAAGCACCAGCUCUUCUAUGGAAUUAGGAUGGAAGCCAGGAAAAGUCCUCUGAAACUCAACGAGUGAGGUACAAGGAGGCAACAGAAUUAUUUUAUAUAUUCAUAUCAAUAAAUAUCACUAAAUAUAUACUGAAGGAUUAGCUCAGCAUUCAUUUUUCCCCUAAGAUACUAAUGAAAGCAGUUUUUUAACUAGGCAAAAAUCCAAGUAUUUUUCCUGACUCUACUUAGCCUGACACUUGGAAAUGAUGUGGAUUUCGGGUAUAAAAUCUGCCAGAUGAUUCCCUUUGAGACCACUUGAGCUACAGAGUGCCUGUACCAAACACUGCCCCCUACUGGUCUAGAGCCUCCUCUUCCUCUUCCUAUGAUGAGUAUUAUCAUAGGAAGAGGAAUAUUUUUGCCAGUUAGUGAAAGACUCUUGCUGAGGGAAUUUAGAUCAUCUUUAUCUUAAGUACAUUUAGAGUAGAAUGAUGUGUACCCAUCCAGUUUUGCCUUGGGAAAUGCCAGGAAUGCCCCAAAGGAUACAGUUUUAGAAACUGUGUUCUAGGUUAGCAUAAUGAAUAUUAUCCCAGUCUAGUACAGAUAGUAACAUAUUUGUAACCAAAGUCAGUCAACGCUAGUGGAAAACAGAAUGGAGUCCAUAUAGUCCCCUGCUUAACUCUAUUCAGAGGCAAGAACUGCUCAGAUAAAGAAUAGGAUAGAAGCUAGCCUGCCAAAGGUAGCCAUUAUAUGUACUUAAAUAUUCUUUCCCUAGGCAAAAUAAAGAAUUGCCUAAUCUUUCUUCAGAAUAUACAGUAUGAAACCCUAGAGUCAUUUAGGUCAUAUGGUCAUGAACCAUUUCUAUCUUCUCAACUUCUUUUUCUGAAACGAGGGCACCCUGAGCUGUGUUGCUUAUCUCAGAUCUGGAUUUAGCCACACACUCUAAAGUGUAAGAGUUCUCCCUCCUCACAUGUAGCCCAAAAUAGUCCUUCACAGCCACGUCACCCUGGACAGUUUAUCACUUGACAUGACCUCCUACUCUACCGAUUGGAGAGAUUUCAGACAGAGCUUGACUGGCUUCAAACAGAAACAGCAUGACUUCAGAACGUAUAGGAUGAAUUAAACAGAGCAAUUUUCUAGUUUUCAGAAACACAAACGUGACUAUAAGUGGGACCUCAGCCAGAGUACAGUCUUAGAAAAUAAGGUUUCAAUCUACCAUUUAUUAAAUGCCAUGUUUAUGUGGCAUUUUAUUAAGCAUUUUAAGGGUUAUUUAGGCAUGAAUAUUGCUCUCUCAAAAUGUUACAAUCAAAGCCAUCUUAGCAUCAAAAUUUAUUCUGAAAUGAUUUGCUGAGCUCCUGCUGUGUAGCAGGUGCUGUGCCAUGUACUGGGGUUACAGAGGGACCCUGUCACAGCCUCUGUCUUUGUGAUCUUAGAGUUGGGAGAUGGAGUAGCGGAGUACACAGAUGAUGCCAGUACUACAGCAUCACUUCCUGUCCUCUGGCUAAAGAAAUUUCACUGUCCAGCACAGUGCCCAACAUAGAGUUAAGUAGUCAGUAAUUAUGAACUAGAUAAAAAUCAGCAAAAUAAAAAGAAUGAAUGAAUGCUAAGAUAGUGUAAGUAUAGGGUGCUAUGGAAAAUGCAUAGGAGAAGAAACUAAACUAGUUUGAGGGGACUAACUGCAGAAAGUGUCAUUUACACUAGGACAGGAGUCAAAGAGUAUAUUGAUGCAAAGGAAAGACCAUGAAUUAGACCUGGGUUCAAAUCCUAGCAGUGCCACCCAUGAGCUGGGCAAUUCUAACUAUUUCAAACCUUAUUUUCUGCAUCUGUAAAACACUGAUGAUACCUUUUAAAGGCUGUUUUGGGGACUAAAUGAGAUAUUAGUUACCUGUGUCUGACACAGAGAAGAACUUCGAUGAUAGGUGUUAGAGGUAUCACAGAGAAUGGACUUGCAACAUGCAAGCCAUGAAUAUCUAAGUAGUCAGGUUAAGGGCACAAAUAUUUUAAAGAAUGAAUAGAAAUAAUAAGCUUAAAAUCAUGAUGGAAAUAAAAGAGAGGUGCUAUAACAGUUCUUAACCCCUAAGCCCAGACAAGGGUGGAGGGAGGCAGAUGAUUUAUAGGAGUUUGCCAUCCUCUUCCAAUCCAUUCUAGAAGGCUUUUGUAUUUAGCUUUCAGCUGCAGAACCAUGUGGCCCUGCCUGUCCCAUUCACAGUAUGGUAAAUACUUUUUCAGAUAAUCAGAUAAUCUUAGGGUAUUAUGAUUUAACUGCUCAGCAUGGAUGCUUGAUACAAGCUAUAUGUGUGUGUGUGUGUGCAUGCAUGUGUGUGUAUGUGUGUUUGUGUGUGGUAUUUUCCCUGUAAGUUCUUGCCACAAUUAGCUUUCAUUGCUUUUACCCUAAAUAUUUUCAAGUAUACCAGAUUCCUUUCUUCUGUUCUUCCUUCCACCCGUGUGCAUCAGGCUCUUUCCUGCUACAUUCACAUAGUUAGGUUAUUUAACACACACAUACACACCUGCUGUCUGCUGGCUUCAACUCUUUUUAGGUGAGAUUUUAGGACAUGGCUUGAGAUGCAUUGGAUUGUGAGAUACAUUAAAUAUAAUGUGGGGGAGGAGAAGGGAAAGAUGCUAGCAGCUGACUUUUGGUUUGGGUUUUUAGUCCUAAUAUGAGACAGGACAUGGCAAAAAAGUGUCAAACAAGAGAAUGAGAGGGUCCAAAGAAACGAGGUGGUGGUGGCCAGACAUGAAAGAAAGUACAAGACAUAAAAACAUUUAAGUUUGAAAGAUAUAAAAUUUGGAGAAGGGAGACCUAGCAGUGUUUAAGAUUCUGAUGGGGGAGGGAAAGCCAUUGAUUGGGCCUUUGAAACCAUGCCAGGAACCAAGAGCCAGGGGUAGUGGCAGAGGGGACGGCCAGGUAGGACAAUUAAAACGGAAAUCUGGCUCCUUACAACACAGCAUGGAGCAAGGCUACAGAAUUUGCUGCAGUGGGAGGUGGGGCCAGUCUGGCACAGUCUGUGGGUUUGAAAGGAGCUGGGCGGGUUGGAGAAUGCCAGUCAGCCUUUGUAGUUCUGAGCUCAGAGAGGGGGUGACACGUACUGGGCUCCAGGUCAGAAGCCUGGCUUGGGUGGCUUUUGGAGAAAUUUUCCCUCUGCUCCCAAACUCUUAAAAGGUGCUCAUCACACCACUGACCUCCAAUCACAGCACAAGCACGUGUCCCAAAGGCCGUCCUCCAGCAGAGAUUUCGGCAGUGGUACCUGUUGGCUGGCGCAUGGGGUCCUUUCCUUUUUCUAUUCCCUGGAAGCCGUCAACUGGACUGAAUACAACAUCUUUGCAUCUUUUUCUUCACCCUCCCCACAAGCUUGCAUCUCCCAGACUCCUAGGGUUAAUCCCCAGGACAACUUUGCUUUGAAAGAAAAAAUGUGGUGAGCCUACUUGAAGAUUUGGAUUCCAAGAGGCCUCUGUCUGUCCUGCCUCAGCCAGAGCCACACAGCCAGCUCAAGGAGAUGGGCAUUUACAGGGAAAGCAGCAGUAAGUUUUUGUUGUUGUUGCUGUUUGUUUUCAAGGCUUGGUUGUUCUCCAGAAUUAGGUCCCUGAAAGCAUGGGGUUUUCUUUUCCUUUUUUUUUUCUUUCCUUUCUUUUUUAUUUUCUUUCUUUCUCAGCAAAAAUGAAUAAUACCCUCUUCUCCCCCUGAGAGUGAUUCAUAAAAGCAAUUUAAAAGUUGCUUCUUCAUCGCUGCUCAUAACCUGGGUUAAAGUUAUCUGAGGUUGAUCUGUGUGUGCCUAUUCUCAACACUGUAAUAUUUUAAAAUGUAUGUGCAUUUGUUAUAAUAAUUUGUGCUGAUGGUUCUCCUCCAGAAGAAAUACUAUGUAACUGGCAGAUAGAUUAUCAUUAUGCUGAAUUUGUCCCAGGACUUGCAUAGAUACCUUCUUUGGGGGGUUUUGUGCUUAUUUGCUGCUCGUGAAAGAGAAGGAUAGAAAGACUUUGGAAGGAGGGUGUGGUCCAGCAGAUUCGGCUUCCUCCCAGCCCAUCAGUGACUCCUUCUUCCUGCUCCUCCCUUUCCCCUCCACUUCUAUCCCAGUUCCUCAGAUCCAACCAGAGCCAGCUGUCAAUGAAAUAUCUUCUGCCUUUUCUAUUACAGCGUGGGUUAGACUCUGUCAGGUAGGAAACUACUCCCCAUAAUCAAACUCAUAAUGUUUGUGAUCUCAGCGUAUUUGCAAACUUAGACAUAGACCAGACAAUACCAUUUACCCUCUCCAUUUCUCCCUUCCUGGGAUUUUUAGCCAAGGUAGUAAUAACAAUAAUAAUACUGUAUUUAAAAGGCCUCUAGCAAUAUUUCAUCUUCUGAGAGCCUUACAGAUGUUAACUAAUUAAUCUUCACAACACUCCAUACAAGAGAGGUAAAUAUUAUUAACCAUGAUAGAAGAUACAUAUGUAUAUGCUAAGGACAGCAAACUAGUUCACUUAUUUAUCAUGGUUCACUUGAUAUAGUAACUGGUAUUUUUAAAACACCCAUCAUAGAUACAAUAAUUAGAGAUGUGCUUUUGUUAACAAAGCCACUACCCACUUCUAGCGUACCCUUGGGUACUAAAUAAUUACCCACUUUGUGUGGUUAUCUAGCUCACUAAUUACCCACAGAAAUUGGGGUCAGGUGUUAACUGCUUGAAAUAAGUAUCCUCCAAAGACAUCGCUGAGUUGUAUAGAGAAAAUGAUGUGUUCAUAGCAAAACUUUCAUAAGCUAUAUAUUUGUAUAUCUUUGUAAGCAGAGUGAAUACAGGCAAGAGCAAAUUAGCUUAUUAUGUGAAAAUCAUGCUGAACUAUUGUUGCAAAUAUAGAGAGGUUUAAAAGAGUCUCGGGGAAUCUCGUCCUCUAUUUACCUUUCCCUUUGAAAAUGGGUUCAAUGACAUGAUUCCCAUAAUCUGGCCUUCAUAUAGAAGUACUCUAAGACAAUUGAUGAUUCUGGUUAGGAAUGAUUCAUUUUGGUGUACAGGGAGGCACCCAGUGAGUCAAAGAUUUUUUUUUUUUUUUUUUAACAGCUCCACCCUUCAUGAUUAUUCUAGCGUGUUUCUUUUUUCUCCAUCAGUCUAGUGAAAACAUCCCGUUAGCCAAAUCUGAAAAAGAUUCUAACCUAGUCACCAACUCCUGGCAACCACCUCUUUCUCCUUCCCAAUAAUGACAAAAAGAAAAAAAAGUAUUUAAAAAAUCCAACACUUUCUUUUUGCCUUUAACUGUUAUGUGCUCCUCGCCUUUCCUCUCUACUUCUCUCCUCUGCCUUCUUCCUCUCUCUGUAUCUUCUUCUUAUUUGUGCAUUUUCUUCUCCUUUUCCUUGGCAUCUAGGCGUGCUUCUGCAGGUCUCACAGUCAGAGACAAAGCACAAUUAUGUCUGAGUUGAGCACAAAGAAACUAUCUUUUAAAAACAUUGACUUAGAGGAAACCUGCAUCCUCAGAUACCUUUCUCCCUUUCCUUGCUAUUUACAGAAUCUGACAUUAUAUUUAACACCACACUGCCUGUUGUCUGCAUGAUUCUAGCCAGAAAAAUUGGGUUAGAAUGGCAACAUACCCACUGUGUAUACAGAUAGGUAGAGACCCUAAUUUUCGGCAGAUCCAUGCUUUAAAGGAUCAUUGCAUAGCAGAGCUUUAAAAAUGAGUGCCAACAGAAAUGAUAGGAGAUGCUCCCCCAAUCAACUUAGGAUGUCUUCCUUUUUUCUUGUGCCUCUUUUUUUGGUCAUCUGAAAUAUUACUUGUCAUUAUUGGGGGACUUGAGGCUGAUCGAUGAAGUGUAUAUAUGUCUGUCGGACAUUUGAAGAGGAAAAACAUGCUUCAGGAAUAAGGAAAAUGUCUGCAGUGAAAGCAAAGGGUUAGGAUGAGCUUCAGUGACUGACGAGUUCAUUUCAAAAUCCAAGGGCACAUAGAUGGUAAAUUAGUACAUAUCGCAAAUACAGUCAACGAGCAAACCCCAGCCACUGGAAGGAAAGGGAAUUUUAGCACCGUAGUCAUCACAUGCCUGAACAGAGUGUCUACGUAUCUUAAAUGUAGAUCUGAAUCAUUGCUCUUUUAUCUCGCUAAAUGCUGAUUGCAAAGAAAUGUUUGGGCAUUGUUGACUUUCUGUCCAUAAAGAAAAGUCAUGAAGAUUCACAGAAUCCAUCACCUGCACUCAUACAUGCGUGUGUGCUUUAAAUUCCCCUAGGAUGUGAAACAAUUAGGCAGAGAAACUGCACUGUGGUCUCCCUUCCUCACUUCUUUCCCUCCCUGUUUUGCCUUUUUGAAAAUGUGAUACCUGAUCUCUAGGUCUAGCAGGCUGAGAAUCUUUUUGUAUUUGUAUAAUACAGUGUCUGGCCUUCCCCCUGACCUGCUGAUGUAUUUUUGGCCUCAUUAGUAGUCAGGGAGAUGCCUUAGUGCAUCCAGCACUGCAAGUCAGGGAUGAAACACACUACAACAGAGAGAGGGAGCAAGCGCGAGAGGAUAUUAGAAGAGAGGCUUGUCUCCAAGAUAUGGAAGGAAGUGAGAAAUGACAGGGCUGCAAGCUUUGUAUGUAGGAGACCGGCAGGGCGGGGGAGCGGCGAGGAGAGCCAACUGGAUUCUCAGAAAAGGGGGGAAGCCAUCGAAGAGCUAAAGGUGAUUAGAGGGGGAUAUUGAUUUCUUAUUCUGCCAGAGAUUUAAGCAGGCAUGCGAGGAAUCUGCACCAUGGUUGGCAAAAGGAGACCCAUUGCCUCCUGUAACCAGACACUCGGGCUUUCCAGGAGCCCAGGGAGCAAGCCGAGAAGAAAGGGGGCAGUGUGGUCUAGGAAAAUUCAACUUGUCGCUGAUUUGUGCCUGAUGCCUGCUGUCCGUCAGCAGCCUCCCUUACAAUCUUUUUUUCUCUCUCUCCCUUUUUUUUCCCUUGCCUUCUCCUUCUUCACUGAAGCCUAGGGGAGCCAGUAAAGAUUAAAUGUGCUUCUCAAAGGCAGCCACUUCAUGCUGCUAUGUCGAAAGGGCCAUUAUUAUUAUUAUAUUUUAAUAGUAAAAGAGAAAGGGAGAGAGGUUGAGCGAGUGAGAGAGAAGCUAGGUGUGAUGAUGACAGACUAGCUUUUCUGAGAGGAAAAGGAAAAGGGAAGGGAGAGAAAAAGGAGAGCCCCUGAGCUCAACGGAGGAUUGUGCCUGAGAAGAACCUACAGAGGCCUGGAAUAAAAGAAGAGCAACAAGAAGAAAGAAAUGAAAUGAAAAACAGAAAGAAAAAGGAGAAGAAACAUUUGAAACAGGGUCAUCUUCCCAUCCGCCGCCUCUCCUUUUCCUUUCAUUUUUGGAGGCGGCACAGGAAAGCCCCACUUCCAGUCUGAUGAGGAAAGCGACAAUCUAUCAGGUACAGAACCAGGGGCUGUCUGCGAAGAUGGAGGGGAAUUAUGCUUCGGAUUCCUCUGAAAUAUUGGCCAAAGGCUUCAAAGAAUCCGCAGCGGGAGGUACGGGGGGAACGUCUCUCCCCAGCCCGCACCCAGCCCUUCCCACUUCGCGUCUACCAAAUGACAGCCUGGUGCUCGCUCUUGGUGAUUUGGCCUUGACUUCAGCCAAGCAGCUGAUGCAGACGAAGGCUCCGUUUGCAGGACUGGCAAAGUGCACGCUAAAGAAGGAAGGAAGAAAUUUUUCAGAAAGCAGCUCUGGGGAGGUUUCAUACUCCCCCCCCCCUUUUUUUUUUUUAAUUUUUAAGUGAAUAUUUUCCAAAUUUGAUCAGUUCCAGCCCCUCCCUCCACUCCCACCCAACUGCCCUUUUUUCUCUCGUCAAAGCAUAAGCUACAGAGUUACAGUCUCGAGAUUUGGUGUAUCGCUUCCUGCCCCCGCCUCCCCUCCCCGCCCCCGUUCUCCGUCCUCUAUUGAAACACCUCGCCCAGCCUAGCACACUGAGAGCUCUCAUUUCCCCCCCUUGCUCGGGAUGGUGCCACAGGAGGCUGUGCGGGCCCCGCUCCGCUUCGAAUGGUUGUGUUGAUGUUCCUUUCAGCUGGUCCUAUAGUCCCCCUCCUCAGGAAUGUCUCCCCAGUGCAAGGACAAAGACUGAAGAGACUGCUAUAUUGAUGGACUCUCAAACCAACUAUGAAGUUGAAACAAAGAAAGUGAUCACCUGAAGACACCUCUGCUAAGCAACACCCCCAAAUUGUGCAGCUUCAGCCACUAGAACUCUCAGAACAAGAGAGAAUCUUUUCAAGAAACAGAAAAACUCAAUAAUGACAUCUAGAUUUUCAUGAGACAAGAACUUUCCCUUCCUCGUGUGUAUUCCUCUGUUUGUACUUAAAUUCAUGUGACAUUCAUUUUUUUCCUAGUACGAAUAUGCUUAUUAAUGCACUUGUUCCAAAAUCCCAAAUUGCACAAAUGUGUUGAUAUUUUAAGAAACAAAAUUAAUCCUACAAGGAGAAUGAUUUUUAGCCACACACUGGGUUGGAUCUUAAGAGUGACCUACAGAAUAAAAAGUACUUUUAAAAUAAA